CCAGGGGGGAGGAGCUAGGCAUUCCCUGGAUAAAACUGGGGAUUUCUAGACAGAAGGGCAGCCUUUUCACAGGUUCUCCGAGAAGACACAGCAGCUACAUCUGCCAUCCCAAGAGGACUGCAGCUACUUCAAUUUAGACUUCUACCAGCACGCUGGCCAGUUUCUGUCCUGUGUGGUAUCCCCAGAUAUAAGUUUUUACACUACUUACAAGAAUCUUAAAGUCAUCAGAUGAUUUCUUGCUUCUCCUGAAAAUGCAUAUAAAUUAACACUAUUGCUGGAUGCUGAAACAAUAGAGGGUCUACUUUGCCAGUCGUUGGUUAAGUAUUUCCACUCCAGUGCUGCUGUUUAGAGGAUGACUCUUGGCCCACUAAGCUACCCAGAGAGCAAAAAAAAAA
This is a non-coding RNA of Lonchura striata (white-rumped munia), 395 nucleotides long. NCBI's taxonomy places the organism in Eukaryota, Metazoa, Chordata, Aves, Passeriformes, Estrildidae. The record is from RefSeq and is a predicted model, not a curated record.